GGGGGCGUCCCGGCUUCGACGGGAUGUUCGAUGCGCUGGUUGCAUGUGGAGGUUGAUCGGCUGGCCUCCUAAAAAAGCCGUUCAAACAAACAAAUGCAGACUCUAACGAGCUCGCACUGGCUGCUUAAUUGACGGCCACGUCAGAACCCCGACGCCUUCUGAGGGGGAUGGCGACACUUAGAAGGCUGGACCAAAAGCCGGGGCACCGGGCUUGAGUCGAGAUCCAACAGGUUCCUAGGAAAGACAACGCCGCAAGCGGGCCCAGCCUCUCCAAAACUCCAGACCGCCUGCUAAACAUGUAGAUACCAUCGCUGAAGGCAUCUCGGACAGGGGUUCGACUCCCCUCGCCUCCACCA
RNAcentral lists this transfer-messenger RNA (356 nucleotides) under Akkermansiaceae. Its description in RNAcentral is "Luteolibacter sp018969605 Standard tmRNA". It matches the Rfam family "transfer-messenger RNA". Rfam says of the family: Bacterial tmRNA, also known as 10Sa RNA or SsrA, is named for its dual tRNA and mRNA-like properties. Lineage: Bacteria; Pseudomonadati; Verrucomicrobiota; Verrucomicrobiia; Verrucomicrobiales. RNAcentral also lists the same sequence under 1 other name. The record is from RNAcentral.